GUUUAGGUAGCUUAACAUAGAGCAUGGUGCUGAAGAUGCCAGGGUAACUUUAGUUUCUAAACA
Molecule: transfer RNA, 63 nt
Filed under: Sagra femorata
Lineage: Eukaryota; Metazoa; Arthropoda; Insecta; Coleoptera; Chrysomelidae
Description: tRNA-Phe
Source: RNAcentral